RNAcentral lists this ribosomal RNA (478 nucleotides) under uncultured bacterium. RNAcentral's name for it is "partial 16S ribosomal RNA". It matches the Rfam family "Bacterial small subunit ribosomal RNA", at positions 28 to 507 of the family's 1533-position model. The record is from RNAcentral.
GACGAACGCUGGCGGCGUGCUUAACACAUGCAAGUCGAACGGGAUUUAGUAGACAGAAGCCUCGGCUAAAGAUUACUAAUGAGAGUGGCGAACGGGUGCGUAACGCGUGAGCAACCUGCCUAUGACAGUGGGAUAGCCUCGGGAAACCGGGAUUAAUACCGCAUAAAAUCGUAGAAACACAUGUUUCAACGGUCAAAGAUUUAUAGGUCAUAGAUGGGCUCGCGUCUGAUUAGCUAGUUGGUGAGAUAACAGCCCACCAAGGCGACGAUCAGUAGCCGGUCUGAGAGGAUGAACGGCCACAUUGGAACUGAGACACGGUCCAAACUCCUACGGGAGGCAGCAGUGGGGAAUAUUGCACAAUGGGGGAAACCCUGAUGCAGCGACGCCGCGUGAACGAAGAAGGUAUUCGUAUCGUAAAGUUCUGUCCUAUGGGAAGAUAAUGACAGUACCAUAGAAGAAAGCUCCGGCUAAAUACGUG